GAGGGGAUAGCUCAGUGGUAGCGUGUGUGCUCAGCAUGCAUGAGGUCCUGGGUUCAAUCCCCAGUACUUCCA
This 72-nucleotide transfer RNA is filed under the name Camelus ferus (Wild Bactrian camel). It matches the Rfam family "tRNA". From Rfam's summary of the family: Transfer RNA (tRNA) molecules are approximately 80 nucleotides in length. Their secondary structure includes four short double-helical elements and three loops (D, anti-codon, and T loops). Further hydrogen bonds mediate the characteristic L-shaped molecular structure. tRNAs have two regions of fundamental functional importance: the anti-codon, which is responsible for specific mRNA codon recognition, and the 3' end, to which the tRNAs corresponding amino acid is attached (by aminoacyl-tRNA synthetases). tRNAs cope with the degeneracy of the genetic code in two manners: having more than one tRNA (with a specific anti-codon) for a particular amino acid; and 'wobble' base-pairing, i.e. permitting non-standard base-pairing at the 3rd anti-codon position. The record is from Rfam by way of RNAcentral. Lineage: Eukaryota; Metazoa; Chordata; Mammalia; Artiodactyla; Camelidae.